This is a long non-coding RNA of Spinacia oleracea (spinach), 513 nucleotides long. RefSeq lists it as uncharacterized. The transcript has 3 exons. Lineage: Eukaryota; Viridiplantae; Streptophyta; Magnoliopsida; Caryophyllales; Amaranthaceae. The record is from RefSeq and is a predicted model, not a curated record.
UUCUACCUCUUCCUUCCUUCUCCCACCACGAUUACACGGUUAAGGAUCUGUUCCCAAUUGAAUUCAAGAGUUUAAUUCCAAUCCGAAAUUUCUCAAAUCCAAAUUUACAGAUUUCACUUCAAUCUAAAUCCAGAUAUUUUCGUAUUUAUCUUCUUCUCCAGCGAUUGUUUCUCGGCGGAGAUUAAUAUCUGGCGAACAUUUUUCCCGGCUUCUUGUGGUUGAAUUAUCAAUUGGUUUCCCACCAUUACCGAUUUAGGAGUUUGUUCAGCAUCUAACACCUUCUCAAUCGAGUGUCCUGCACAAGGAAAAAGAAAUUGGAGACUCAAGUGAAGCAGACUAGCAGAGUAUGAGAAGGCUAACAACAUAAAUGAUGAUGAUGAAGAUGAAGAUGAAGAUGAAGAGGAUGCCACAAAAACCCGCACUCCUAUUCGCUUGAUAAAGCGCCGAUAACUAACUAACUGGAGAAUCAGAUGACUAUGGAGCUAUUGGGUGAUCUUUGUUUUAUCUGGCGGA